Molecule: transfer RNA, 84 nt
Filed under: Planctomycetaceae bacterium
Lineage: Bacteria; Pseudomonadati; Planctomycetota; Planctomycetia; Planctomycetales; Planctomycetaceae
Also listed under: 2 other names
Description: tRNA-Leu
Rfam family: tRNA
About the family: Transfer RNA (tRNA) molecules are approximately 80 nucleotides in length.
Source: RNAcentral
GCGGAUGUGGCGAAAUUGGCAGACGCGCUAGAUUCAGGUUCUAGUGGGGUUAAACCCGUGGAGGUUCAAGUCCUCUCAUCCGCA